GAGGUGAGAGGAUCCCUUGAGUCAGGAGUUCGAGGCUGCAGUGAGCUAUGAUUGUACCACUGCACUCCAGCCUGAGUGACAGAG
RNAcentral lists this microRNA precursor (84 nucleotides) under Microcebus murinus (gray mouse lemur). RNAcentral describes it as "miRNA (ENSMICG00000047025.1)". Lineage: Eukaryota; Metazoa; Chordata; Mammalia; Primates; Cheirogaleidae. The record is from RNAcentral.